GCUGAGAACCCGAAACCCUGGAGAUGCUGCUCUGCCUCCAUCUGUCCUGCACUCUUCCGGGCACAGCCGACUUCGGAUCCUCUAAGCAGACAGAAGACGACCAGGGCCCCGUGGAGGGCGCUCUUGAGCAGCAGCAGGAGGAAGUAUAUUGUCCAAGACAAUCUGCAAGAAACAGUUAUAUCAUCCCAAAUCAUGCCACUUUCCAAGUAACUGUUUAAAUCUCCUUGACCCUUGUGGAAACUAAGGAUAUCAGAGGAUAAAGCCCAGCUCAGAGAAUCAGGAUGGCGCACAGCACAAGCUUCAUGUAUUUGUCAUCUGUCCAUUUUCCACUGGUUCAAAAGGGCUGAUUAUCAAUCGGAAUAGGUACAAAAUGAUCUCUUCUCAGGUGCUGUGGCCUUUGGACUGUUGAUUAACACUCAAGACUGUGACACACACCACGUUUCUGGAGCUUGCUAGGCCCUCUGCCAGCUGUGUGGACAUGAACCUCGUUGCAUCAAUUGGAUUGCUUUGAGACACCGUGCCUGAAUCAGGAGUGGCACUGAGUGAUUGGGGACAACUCUUCACUGGACCUCGUCACCCUUGGCGUGCUAACUCAACCCCACUUUCCCUCACCUCUGCAUGCAGUACACAAGUAACACAGUACACAUUUCUCAAGUUGCAUUUGCCAAUGUCAAGAAAUAAAUUCAUUCAUCUUUAAUUAUAAAAUUUUGCUUACCAAUGAUGUGUAAAAUAAAAAUCAGAGAAUCUCAAGGCCA
Long non-coding RNA from Cavia porcellus (domestic guinea pig), 755 nucleotides. RefSeq lists it as uncharacterized. NCBI's taxonomy places the organism in Eukaryota, Metazoa, Chordata, Mammalia, Rodentia, Caviidae. The transcript has 2 exons. The record is from RefSeq and is a predicted model, not a curated record.